CUGAGUACGGCGGAACACGUGAAAUUCCGUCGGAAUCCGGGAGGACCAUCUCCCAAGGCUAAAUACUCCCUAGUGACCGAUAGUGAACCAGUACCGUGAGGGAAAGGUGAAAAGCACCCCGGAAGGGGAGUGAAACAGUUCCUGAAACCGUGUGCCUACAAGUAGUUAGAGCCCGUUAAUGGGUGAUAGCGUGCCUUUUGUAGAAUGAACCGGCGAGUUACGAUUUGUUGCAAGGUUAAGCGGAAAAAGCGGAGCCGUAGCGAAAGCGAGUCUGAAUAGGGCGCAUAAGUAACAGGUCGUAGACCCGAAACCAGGUGAUCUACCCAUGUCCAGGAUGAAGGUAAGGUAAUACUUACUGGAGGUCCGAACCCACGCACGUUGAAAAGUGCGGGGAUGAGGUGUGGGUAGCGGAGAAAUUCCAAUCGAACUUGGAGAUAGCUGGUUCUCUCCGAAAUAGCUUUAGGGCUAGCCUCGAGGUAAAGAGUCAUGGAGGUAGAGCACUGUUUGGACUAGGGGCCCUUCUCGGGUUACCGAAUUCAGAUAAACUCCGAAUGCCAUGUACUUAUACUCGGGAGUCAGACUGCGAGUGAUAAGAUCCGUAGUCGAAAGGGAAACAGCCCAGACCACCAGUUAAGGUCCCCAAAUAUAUGUUAAGUGGAAAAGGAUGUGGGGUUGCUUAGACAACCAGGAUGUUGGCUUAGAAGCAGCCACCAUUGAAAGAGUGCGUAAUAGCUCACUGGUCGAGUGACCCCGCGCCGAAAAUGUACCGGGGCUAAACAUAUUACCGAAACUGUGGAUGAACCUCUUUAGAGGUUCGUGGUAGGAGAGCGUUCUAAGGGCGGUGAAGUCAGACCGGAAGGACUGGUGGAGCGCUUAGAAGUGAGAAUGCCGGUAUGAGUAGCGAAAGAAGGGUGAGAAUCCCUUCCACCGAAUAUCUAAGGUUUCCUGAGGAAGGCUCGUCCGCUCAGGGUUAGUCGGGACCUAAGCCGAGGCCGAUAGGCGUAGGCGAUGGACAACAGGUAGAGAUUCCUGUACCAGUGCUAAUUGUUUAACCGAUGGGGUGACACAGAAGGAUAGGGAAUCGCACGAAUGGAAAUGUGCGUCCAAGCAGUGAGUGUGAGAAGUAGGCAAAUCCGCUUCUCGCGAAGCAUGAGCUGUGAUGGGGAAGGAAAUUAAGUACGGAAGUUCCUGAUUUCACGCUGUCAAGAAAAGCCUCUAGGAAGAGUAGUACUGCCCGUACCGCAAACCGACACAGGUAGAUGAGGAGAGA
RNAcentral lists this ribosomal RNA (1270 nucleotides) under Listeria monocytogenes. RNAcentral's name for it is "partial 23S ribosomal RNA". It matches the Rfam family "Bacterial large subunit ribosomal RNA", at positions 408 to 1677 of the family's 2925-position model. The record is from RNAcentral. Lineage: Bacteria; Bacillati; Bacillota; Bacilli; Caryophanales; Listeriaceae.